UCUCUCUCACCUCACGCACCACGUGCAAUUCGCCCAGUUAUCCCAUCCCGACCUCGCGCUAGGGUUAGCGCGGGCGCCAGCCCCAGCCCGCCCCUUGGCUCCUCGGCCGCCGCUCGCCUUCCUCCGGCAGCACCUCGCCGCCGUGUUUGCCUCCUCUCGCAGCUGCUCCGCCUCCGCCAUUUCAAUUCCUCCCAGCACCACGCCAGCGCGUCCCGUCCGCCCUCGAUGUGAUCGACGCCGACGAGGUUCCGUCAUCGUCUCAUCGACAUAUAUCCUGACAAGGUGAGAGGAACGAUCCCAUCAGGUCGAACAGCAAGAGGAACGAUUCCAUCAGGCUGAACGGCGAGCAGCAUCCAUGCCUGACGCACACGGCAUCGUGCCUGCUGAGCUAUACUGUUGCUUCAACUCGGAUGCAGCAGUACUACGUACUCUCCUCUUUCUGAUCAGGACGCUCCCAUCCGAUGGCCGUUGGGGCCGCCCCAUUGAACGUCGCUGUUGUAGGACAAAAUCCCCUGGAUCAUUCCUGGCGUGUAGAAAUUGCCGACUCGCGACUGGAUAUUACCACGGCGCCCGGAGAACGCUCGCUUGUCAGUUUGUGACUGGACAUGACAUGCACCUGGACGAUGAUGUUGCCUCACACCUGAGCAGCUUAACUAAACGAACAAAUCACGUAGGACCGAGGCAAAACAUUUGGUUCUUCAGGCCUAUGACUACUAAGUACUAAUAAGGAACACUUACUACAGAAAUUAAUCGGAUGCUCUAAUCAGAAGAAUUACCAGAAAUAUGAAAGGAAGGAGUCAAAGCUUGUGAAGAAAUGGAGCACUUCCAAGUUUUUGGCCGAUGAUGAUGAUGAGACUGACAACCACAAGGUAAGCUCGCCGAGUGCAUCCUCUCAAGGGUAGGAAGCGUUUUCGGAGGAAGACUGACGACCAAGAGGACGGGAAUGAUGAUGGUGUGAGACAAUGUAGCAGAAAACAAUAGCACAUAUUUCCGAGAGGAGUACAAAGGAGAACAAAAAAAUGGAUGAUGAAGACGUGUCGACACUCUUGAUGUAUGAUAUUCUUCCUAGGAUCUAAUUUUUUUUACAUAAAAACGCAUAGGUAUGAAAUGGUCAAUCAAAAUGUACAACAUCGCUUGUCCAAAAACAUUUUGAUGUGUCUUAUUUUAGGUCAAUAUCAAGUGCGGUUUUGUUAAUUUAGAUAAUGAUGCUUGGAUUGGGGAGACGGAAUAGUGAGUGCUGGAAGAAGACUGAUGUAAUGAAAAAGCUGACACUUGUUUGA
Molecule: long non-coding RNA, 1280 nt
Organism: Triticum urartu
Lineage: Eukaryota; Viridiplantae; Streptophyta; Magnoliopsida; Poales; Poaceae
Source: RefSeq, a predicted model, not a curated record